This 237-nucleotide unclassified non-coding RNA is filed under the name uncultured fungus. RNAcentral's name for it is "partial contains 18S rRNA, ITS1, 5.8S rRNA, ITS2 and 28S rRNA". Lineage: Eukaryota; Fungi. The record is from RNAcentral.
AAGGAUCAUUAAUGAAUUCGAAUGGGUAGUUGUUUUGCUGGCCUUUAUUGGCAUGUGCACGCUACCCUUUUCUUCAUUUCACCCCACUUUUGUGCACCAAUGGUGUGUUUGCGCUCACCCCGCCUUCACACGUGUUUCCACACACAUACCCCUAUUUAUCGUCUUUGGAAUGCAUAUACGAAGUUCAUUCUUCGAAUAAUGACUAUACAACUUUCAACAACGGAUCUCUUGGCUCUC